RNAcentral lists this long non-coding RNA (2786 nucleotides) under Sarcophilus harrisii (Tasmanian devil). RNAcentral's name for it is "lncRNA (ENSSHAG00000020978.1)". Lineage: Eukaryota; Metazoa; Chordata; Mammalia; Dasyuromorphia; Dasyuridae. The record is from RNAcentral.
GGCAGGAUGACCAGUAGAUGUUAAAUAUAUUAAAAUAUAACUUAGAUACACAAUAAGUAUACAUGACCAAAACGUUAUUUUGCUGGAAUACAAGGUUUUUCAAGGAUGAAUGUUGAAAAUUAUUUUUGUAUGUAUUUUGAAAAAUAAAAAGCUAUUAUAAAAAAUGCAGCACAACAUAGAUAAUGUUAAUUUGUGGUUUUCUAAAUCAAUAAAUAUAUGGCCAGCAACCAUCAUUUCUGAGUUUGACCCCACUGGUCUAGAUGACACCAAGUUCCUUUUCAGCUUUAAAUCUCUUAAAUUGUUUAUCUUAUGAUCCUCCCUCAAAAACACUGGCUGCUAGCCACAGGGAACCCAGCCUCAAUUCACAGGGUUUCCAGAGCAACAGUUUUUUUUUUUUUUUUUUUUUAUUUAAUAGCCUUUAAUUUACAGGAUAUAUAUAUGGGUAACUUUACAGCAUUAACAAUUGCCAAACCUCUUGUUCCAAUUUUUCACCUCUUACCCCCCCCCCCCUCCCCUAAAUGGCAGGAUGACCAGUAGAUGUUAAAUAUAUUAAAAUAUAACUUAGAUACACAAUAAGUAUACAUGACCAAAACGUUAUUUUGCUGGAAUACAAGGUUUUUCAAGGAUGAAUGUUGAAAAUUAUUUUUGUAUGUAUUUUGAAAAAUAAAAAGCUAUUAUAAAAAAUGCAGCACAACAUAGAUAAUGUUAAUUUGUGGUUUUCUAAAUCAAUAAAUAUAUGGCCAGCAACCAUCAUUUCUGAGUUUGACCCCACUGGUCUAGAUGACACCAAGUUCCUUUUCAGCUUUAAAUCUCUUAAAUUGUUUAUCUUAUGAUCCUCCCUCAAAAACACUGGCUGCUAGCCACAGGGAACCCAGCCUCAAUUCACAGGGUUUCCAGAGCAACAGUAAUCAAAAUCUCCUCACUGUCCCCUGGGGCUGCCAGCCUAGCAGGCAAGAAGUACUGCUGAAUGAAUGAGAUCAGAAAAAAGAGGGAAAGGAAGGAGGAAAAGGCAAAGGAAAAGUCAACAGACAGGAAGAAGCCAGAGGAGGGCUGGUCAAGUGGACUCUGAGGAGAAUGAGCCUGAAGGAGAGCCCUGUUUGCUUCUGGACUGUUCUACUGUGAGGAGGAGACUGAACAGGUCCAGGUUGUUGUUUGCUGAGAAGCAAAGGGUGCUUGAGGGAGAUAGAGUGGAGUUGGUACCAUAACAGAUCUUGAAAGAGAAGCUCAGGAAAGAAAGUCUCCAGUUCCUAAAGGUAAAGAGGGAGGAUGCGCCCAGGACCCCAGUGGGCCUCUCAGCGCGGGAGGUCGGGGGUUGCCGGGACGGGGCGGGCAGUGCAAUGACUUGUCUUUCCCACGAGUAUUUUCUCUCCCCAGGCACGCGGAGCCCCGUCCUGCCCGGAGGGCCCAGUACCAUGAACCCCCCGGGCGCGCCGCCGGCCCCAGGAUGGGAGCUCCCGGCCGUGGUGGCCAUCGCCGCCUUCGGCCUGGUCUGUCUGCUCUACCUGCUGGCCUUCCUGUCCUCGCUGUGCUGUGGGCGCUGCGGCCCCGCGCGGCCCGCCGGGGGCCAGCUCUGCGAGGAGAGCGAGGAGGCCACCUUCCACCCCUCCUCCCCGCCCGGAGGCCCCCCGGCUCUGCCCGGCGGGGCCGCCGCUCCCCAGCAGGCGUCCUAAGGCCGCGCCGCCUCGCGGCCUCCGUAAGCCUCCGCUGCGCGCCGGACCCUUGGACUAGGCCGGGCGAGGGGGGUGCUUGGGGGCGGCCGCUGCCCUUAGGAGAGACAUUCCCAAGGGCGGAGAGGGAGCGUAAGGGGGGGGGGGGCCUGGGGCAGCGACCUGCCGGGGCUCACCCGGAGUAGGGGCCCCUAAAAGGGCGCGGCGUUAAUCAGCCGCCGUGGUGGCGAGGGAGGGGGAGAAGGAGCCGCCGUUCUGGGCCUGUUUCCCUGAGGGAAGGACCAAGGGCACUGGCUCCGAGGGGAACCCCGGAGAGGACACUUCUAGGCCUCGGGCGGAACGACGGGGAACGUGACCGGCUCCUUUUGCUCCUGGAUUUGAGCGACAGACGGCCGGGCCGCAGCGCCCACCGGAAAUAAACCCCCUUCCCCCUUCUGGCCCUGAGCCGCGGAGGCACGCGUUUCCGGAGUGGGGCCCGGCCGGAAAUUAGAGAAUAAGAGAUCUGGCCAGGAUAGCUCCAGUCAGAUUGAGCCCGCACGUGCGCCCCCCCCCCCCCGGCGUCUGACCGUCAGAAGGGCUUAUGGCAAGAGCGCCGUCUCCCCCCCGUUCUCAUCAGCGCCGCGGCCCAGCUUGGUCCUUCGCUGCCCUUCACGCGAGUUACGGCUUAGCGCCCGGAAACUCCUCAGUCCCGCACGACGCCGGCUCGCUGGUCCAAGGGCUGCAGCUUCCCCUCGGACUCACUGUGAGAACCGGUCUCCCUUCCCCGCCCGGUCCCUCGGAUGAGAGAAUAGUGCAUUCGCAGCCCCUGCUACAAACCUGGGAAAGUGUCUUUGGAAGGGGGAAGUAAGGACACAGAAUGGCUGCAUUGCACCUAGACUCCAUGACGGCGGAAAAUCACUGCUGUGGCAGACGUGCAUGUUUUACAAAUUCCAUCUAAAUACAGCCUAUGUCUAGUUCUGCCUUUAUGUGUAAAUGACAAAUUGGGCAUAAGAACUGUGCUUUGCCUUUGUCCCAAAAAGUGGGGUAUGAUGUGGCCGUGUCCUUUUGCUGUAGUCAUGUCCAAAUAUGGCAAAAUAUUGCAACAAAAUAUUGCAGUUUAUUAAAAUUUGUUGUCCGUCG